GACGAACCGAGCGAACGUUGUUCGGAAUCACUGGGCUUAAAGGGCGCGUAGGCGGGCUGUCAAGUCUGGGGUGAAAUCCCGCGGCUCAACCGUGGAACUGCCUCAGAUACUGACGGUCUCGAGGGGGAUAGGGGCGAGCGGAACUGAUGGUGGAGCGGUGAAAUGCGUUGAUAUCAUCAGGAACACCGGUGGCGAAAGCGGCGUACUGGGUCUCUUCUGACGCUGAGGUACGAAAGCUAGGGGAGCGAACGGG
This 253-nucleotide ribosomal RNA is filed under the name uncultured bacterium. RNAcentral's name for it is "partial 16S ribosomal RNA". It matches the Rfam family "Bacterial small subunit ribosomal RNA", at positions 524 to 776 of the family's 1533-position model. The record is from RNAcentral.